UAACACAUAUGUUUAUUUGAAAUAAAAUCUAGUGCAUAAAGGCAAAUACUUCGCUUAUCUAUGGUAGGAGCACCCUGUGAUAAUCUGAUCUAAAGUCAGUAGCAAUGAGCAGGCUUGUCCCUUUGAUCCAAAGUCUUGGUCAAAUAUAAUUAUAAUUCCAUCUAUGGAAAUAUUCACACAAUAUAGUUUGAAUAUGUAACGAACAAAUACUUUAUAAUGAUUAUUAAUGUAGAAAGAAUUACACGUAUUUAUGUUGCCUAUUAGCAACACAGAUUCAGUUGGAAGUUGAAUAAGAUUUGAGAAGAAACAUGGGCUCAUGGUGAGCUUCUCAGGUAUCAAAACACAAAUAAAGGGGAAGUAGUACAUACAUCCCAUUAUAGAGAGGUAUGUCUAUGAUUUAUUUUUGACACUUUAGUGCUUUGUCUUAUGCAGAAAGAUGACACAUGUUUGACAAACUUGUCUUGCCUUUCCUAGGGCCAGAGUAAUCGGAAAAUACACAAGUUUGAAGGUAUUUAAAGUGAGAGAUGUACGUGUUGUAAAAAUGUAAGUACUGCUGUAGUGUGCUAACAAAACUGCAGAAUUUGUGCUCCUGCAAAAGUAGUAUGAAGCUACAUCAGAUCUUGUGUCCUGUUAUUCCCUCACAUGCAGGUAUAAUAGCAUCCAUAUUAAAUCUCUUCACGUAUGUAUUCGCAGUUAAUUUUUAUCCUUGCAUAUCUGUGUUUGCUGGGCUAUUGGAAGAAAAGUCUGAGAGACUACUGCCAUUUCAUCACUUCUGGAUGAAAUGUUUUAGAAAAUGGGGACUCCUCUCUCUCUACCUUUCUCAUUUAUAAAACUUUGAGGUGACCCUAGACCAAAGUACACAAUUUCAGGAUCUGUGUUCUUUUUGCUCCUGGAUUAAAAAAUUACAGCAGGGCCAAAGACAUGCGGACUUGAAGUACAGGAAAAUGGGAUUUGUACAUUUUGGGGAAUGAGAGCUCUCUAUUCCUGUUUUUUGAAAGUGAAGGAGAGACUAAACAUUUUUAUGUUUUCUAUUGUAGUUCUCUGGUAUUACAUUUUUAAAUGUAUUGUGGAAUUUCAGACCUGAACAUUAUAUGGUCGUUCUGUAGUUUAUUUUUAGGGUUUUUUUCAAGCUUAAUAAUAAAUAAGUAUAUAUAUAAAACCCAAAGGCUAACCCAGAUGCUGUAGUGAUGCAUAUACAAAGACUGAAGGUUAAAGUGAGCUUGAAGAAAUCAUGAAAAAUGGGAAAGCAUCAUAUAUGCAGUUGGUGAGGGCUGCAGGGAAAAGAUAAUGUCAGGAAAAAGCAAAAUGAGUUAGUGCUAACUGAAGAGUGUAGGAGAGAAAAAGAACUCCAAAAGUCUUUAUCAGAGGAAACCAAAGUGCCAGAGUGAAACUUCUCCUAUUAGCAAAUGAAAAGGAAAAUGAAGAUUGGAAGAAAUUGAUUCAUUAACACUGAAGUGUUAAUAUUUAAUUUUCCAUAUUAUUUUUUCCUUCUGUUAAAGCAAACUAAAAGGUCGUUGUGAAAUAUUUUUAAUGGAGUUUCUAUCAAAAGUGAAAAAGCAUGCCUAAAAAAAAUGAAAUAGAUGGAAGAUAUCAGUUCUAGAUUAUAUCACGUUUAAUCUUAAGCUUGUCAAUGUAGGAGGAUGCAAUGUCUUUAACUAGGCCCGCUGAUGCAGUUGAAGCUGAGACUGAUGACCGUAUCAGCUCUUUCAGUCAAUUUAUCUCACUUACAUCCCUAGAACAUAACAGCUACACCAACAUGACAACUUGCAUUUUCAUUUGAAAUGUGAACUUGGAAAAGUCCGGCUUCCAAUAUUUGAGAAAAACUUGACAGUUUUUCUCCAAUUUAAAAUGUACUAAGGCAAGUUGAAAAAUGAAACUAGGCUGGAGCAAAUAUUUUUUAAGGGGUUGUAGAUAAUGCUGGUUUUAAUAUGAGUUGAAACAACAGUAUAAAAAGCAUAUACAAUAUUCGAUACAAUAGGAUUAGGUUCCCAUGAAGGCUUGGAGUGGGUACCACGGCUAGGCUUGGAGCAACCAAUACCUCAUUUCUAGUCAGUCCUCUACAGGAGUGUGUGAAUCUCCUGCUGCCACUGCUAGCAAAUGAACAUGUCCUUCAGCUCAACCUGUGCUCUUGCUGCAGCAGUAGGUACAAAAAGGGUGGCAACUCUACCUGUUCUCCCUCUGGUAUUUUUAUGCAUGCUAAGAUCUUGCUGGGUACGUGAGUCUUGAGACAAAGUUAACUGUUAGUAAGCAGGCUGUGUUUUUUGUACUUAUACAUCCUGUUAAGCAAAGAGUUGUAAAGGAUGACUCAUCCCAGCUACACUUGACUGUAUUUGAAAGGUUUCUAAGUGUGUACAGCAGAAGAGAUUUUGUCAGGAACUCAAUACAACACUUGAAACUGUUGGUGAAGUGAGUGUUGUGUGGAAUCAUUAAAGGGCUAUAAUACAAAGUAAUUAUGUCAGCAAGUUUACUGCUGGGUAUAAAAGAAAGUCCUGUAUUGUUUUGUAUCUUUGUUGUUCAGAAGUAGAAGAAGAACAGGAAGUUUUUCAUUAAAACUAUGAUGAAGAUAGAAGCCAAUUCUUUCUCCAUUAAUGUAUGUAUGUAGCUGUUGGUCAAUACUGUUUUGCUGAUGCAAUAUUUUGGGUAGGGAAUUGAGCAUUUAAAAAAAAAAAGAAGAUCUUCUUUAGGGAAAUUCUAACUUCCUAUUGAACAGCUGUAUGCUAGAAAAGCAGAAAUAAAAAUUAACUGAAUGCCUGAAUUCAUAAAUAUUACCUUUGUAUCCCACUAGUACAGCUGUGAUGUUUCUGCACUAUUUUGGCCUUUUUUUCCUCAGCUGAGCUUUAUUAUGGUUUGUAUAUUUCUUAUGUACUGAAAAUGGGUUUUGAAUGGGAAGUAGUUUUUUAUUAGUUCCAGCAUCUGUAUGCAUCAAAGGGGAGAAAGUUCUUUCAAAGAGCAAAGGAGCAAAGUCGUCCUCUCUGCUUUAACAGGGAUCAGGGUGUACAUGGAGUGACUGGUGCCAAACUGGCUCUUGCCCUGACAGUGCACUGCGAUACAGCAGGGGCAGGUCUCCAAACCUGAGAAUUAAGAAGUUAUCCUGGCCAAAAUUAAAUGGCAGGGAGACCUGAUCUGAGGAGGACUGGCUGGAAAGACAGAGAUUCCCAAUCUGUGAAUGUACAGCCAAUGCUUGACUGUUUUUUUGCAAAGACUGCUUUUGCUCCAAAGGAAUUGUGAGAAUCAUGGCCAGAGGUCUGACAGCUCCAGCACAUCUUUUAACAUGGGGGGUGAGUUUUGCAAACCUUGAUUUUGCCAGCCUAAGGCAUUAUGAAUUCAUAAUCCUGACUGUGCCACUUAAAAAUGUCUGAAGGAACUAGGACUUUAAGGAAUAUAACCUGAAAUCUGUGAUAUAUUUUCUGACAUCCUAAGACUCAGGGUAAAUAAAGCCUGUGCUUUUGGUAGGCUGGCUUGAUGGUAUUGUCUGGCACUAAUGAGCUAAUCUGUAUCACUAAAUUAAAACUGCGGGUAUGUUGAUGGUAUCUUCUGUGUAUAGAUAUUUAAGACAGAAAAGUGCAGGAAGAAAUUUCAUUAACAUAAAUGACAACAGCACAUGAAAAAUUAGGGCCUGCUGUCUAGGUAAAGACAGUACUGUGGAGAAAUAUCUUUUUCAAAUCUGUCUGUAUAGGAUUAAAGUUUAAAAACCUCUCAUAAUUACCUUCAAUGUAAAUUUGUUUUUCAUAUCAGCAUCUUAUUUUAAAAUAUACAGGCAUGCAUAAGAAAUAAAUCCAAGUAAAGUAUGCAAAAUAUGUAUUAUUAGGCCUCGUUAGUGCUUGAUGCGUAUUCAAAGUACAGAAGAUGCCAUCAUCCUGUUUCCAAACUCCUGGGGGAGUUCAGGCAGGAAAGAGAGGUGUAGUGCACAGAAUAGUAUGUGAAAGAGCUAGCAUCUCCUAGGCCACUGCCAUGAACCAUCAUUUACACUUCAAACCUGAGAGCUUAAAGCCUUAUCAAGCAAGAAAAGCUAUGUUUCACACUUCUUUAUCACAAAUGUAAAAUUUGCACAAACUGCAAGGCAGACAAAAAGGAUCAGUUUGCACCACUUGUUCCUGUGUAGUCCAUAUUAAACAUUCCAGUUCUGGUAUGGAAAUAGUAUAUAACCACUCUGCAUUAUAGAUGAUUACUCAGGCUGACAAGCAGUGGGAAACUGGCCACAGGAGAUUUUCCUUUGUUCAAAGUCCAACACCGGUAUCUCUUCCCAAUGCUAAUUCUCAGCUUCAGCCUUAAGCCUUGUCAUCAAGCACAUACGCAACCAACAUAUUUCUUGGCUGACAAAUUCAUCUGUGUCUGUUUGAGGGUAAAAUGAUAGGAACCAGCAAAAGAUGAGAUUUAAUGCUAUAGUAGCUUGUAUGCUGAUAUGAAAAAGUUACUUGUUUUGCAGAUUUCAGUUUUUCCAUUCUAGCCCUGUCAUUAUUACUGUUUUGAAAAUUCUUGUAAUUAUUAGAAAGGUUACUACUCAACUAACAGUGUGCUAUUUUUUGGUUUUUAGAUUCUGCUAGCUGAUUAUUCAUCCAAUGUCAAGAAAGUGUGACCUGGAAGGAGUAGCCUAAACUUAGCCCAGGUAUAGAUAGAUAGAUAGAUAGAUAGAUAGAUAGAUAGAUAGAUAGAUAGAUAGAUAGAUAGAUUUCAAGGUUGGGUGGGGGAAUAUAAACCUUGAACAGAAUACUCCUCAGUCCACUAUGGAACAAAUGCUGUGUGCAAAUAGGCCCCCAAAAUCAUAAAGUCCUCAUUGACUUGAAAACAUAAGACAGAAUAAGGGUCUUAAAUUCCAAUUGUAUUUGCACUGAGCAUCACCAGAUGAACUAAUAUAUUAAACUAAAAGGAUACAUAGUUGAACUCAAUAAAGCUUCAAAAAUAGAUGUGAGUUUUAUUCAUCUGCACAUAUUUUAUCUUUCGUGUUGCUAUUUUCAAGAUGGAACAAAGUCGUGCAACAUAAAAUUAAUUAUCCCCUUUAUGCUUAGAGGCAUUAGCACUCCUAAAGAUGUCUAUCUGAAUAGAAAUAUAGCAACUUACCAAGGCACCACUGUGUCUUUGAUCUACCUAUUUAUCUAUCUAAUAAGCUACAAAAUCAUUCACUAAAAUCAACAUUAUAAAAUAUUAAGAUAUCUUUAAUAUACUUAUUAUGUUAUACAUUUUUUUUCAGACUGUUCUUAUUCCUACUUAAUAUUUUCUUGAAGGCUGAAAGGACAAGAGAAAACAUACUGUAAAUCUGUUGGCUCUUACUUGAUAGAUUCUAAAAAACUACUGAUCUUUUGAUCUUGAAACAACAUAACCUAAAAGCUUUUUCUUUUUGGCUGGAAUCCCAGACUCCAAAUGUCAUUCAAAGGAUACAUUUUCAUUAUAUACUGUUUGAUACUCUACGUGCUUGUAUAAAUUUGGAUGUGUGUUUGUUUGUUUGUUUGUUUUUUUGUUAUACAUUAGUGCUUCCCAUGAGCUUAAUCAUGUUCAACUUUGACCAUUUCAUUUGGGGUAUACAAAUUUCAAAAGGUAAAACAGAUUAAAAAGUCUUUAGGCAUAAAAAUAGCAGAACUUGUAGAAGCAGAAAUUUUAAGUGGAGCAAAAGUAAUCUUUCUCCAUUGCUAGAUGAAACCAAAGAACUUUAAACAAAGUGGUACCAUACUGUAAUGAAGAAGAGAGAUGGGUACUUGAGACAGAGACAGCAAGAAUUGUUAGGAAUCAGUAUUAGAAAAACCUCUUACUCAAGUUUACUUGAGUAGAACUGCCUAACCAACACAUGGAUUUUCAUUUUGUUUUCUCUUCGUGGCUUAUUAUCAGCAUUUAAUUCUCUGUUUUUAAAAAUGUGGCUUACAGUUGAAGGCAAAUUCCUUUGGCAACAGUGAAAUGCACACUGUGGAUAAAUAGUGAAUAUACAUAGAGUAUGAAAUUGAUUUACUGUAAAUUGUUUUAAUAUUACUGCAUAAAACAGCCUUGCAAAAUUGUCAAGAAAAUUUACUGGCACAGAUGCAAAUGUCUAUUUGUCUGCCUCGUUUUCCACAGUAAUCAAUCAUCAUGGAGAAUUAAUAAUUUUUAAUCCUUGCAUUGCAAAAUAUUAAUCAUUUCCGGUAGUUACAUGAGCAAAAAUUUGCCAUACUGCCAUAUUUUAAAUACGUAUUUUUGUAUGCUUGUCUUUUGUAAAUAAAUUAUAUGUUGUAGCUCUGUAGCUUGCUCAUGUGUUGGGGGUAUAAUCAACAUUGUAAUUGAAAUAGAGUGCAUGAAGAUUACAUAAAAAUGACAAUUGUAAAUUGCAUAAUUUUCUGUUUUGUUUAUUUUUUAAUUUUAGGAAUGUUACAGGCAUGAAUAAGUAAUGUUAGCUACAUGAUAGGCCUAAUCUGUAGAUUUUAGAUCAUAGAGAAAUCUCUUUAGAGCUUCAAUAACAGAUUUGUAGUGUUUUCCUCAUAAAUCAAAAUUAUCAUAUUUAACCUCCAGGUUAUGUCAUAUCAAUGGUGCAAUGCUAAUGAUUCACUACACCUCUCUGUAUAUAUUCUUACUUAGGAAGUAUGGGACUAAUAGAUAGGUCUGGAGGUAUUUCGUAGACAAGAAGAUUGAUGAUUAUUUUGGUGGUCUAACAAUAUACCUGGAGUGCACAGCAUCAAACAAUGCAAUAAAUAUGUCAUAUUUCAACAACCAUAGUGAGUUGACUCUGAGAAGGCUGAAAUACCUCUAUAGCUCAGCAUAUUACUUCGGGUCCUAGGAACAGUCCAUGUCUUUUGAUACAUCUAACCCAUCCCUGGGAUUCUUCUGUUUCCAUUGCAGGUUUGAAUUAUAACUUCCAUGCAAACUAUAUAUUUAGGUAUUUAAAGGAAAUGAUCCAAGACCAUUGCUGGAAUUUUUGAAAGGAAACCAUAUCUAGAGAUUUCUUAAGAUACUGCAAAAGCCUAAAAUUAAUUUGAAUUGAGAAAAGGAACCUAUGUUUUUAAUUAUUUGGAUACUGGCUUCAUGAUUUGAGCUGGGUGUAGAAGCUGUGGGGUUUUAUGGAAGAUCUUGGUUUCAGUACCAAGUUUAGCACAAUUUAAAAUGGAGCAAAUUUCUGGUUACGAAGCCAAGUCCUUCAUCAUGAACUUCUGUGCCCCUGAAUGGUUCAACUCUGUGGUGUUCUGAACCUGGGCUGGCAUGUGACAGGUAAAACUGAUAAAUUACAAGCUGUCCUAAAAUUUCAUGACUCUUUUUUUGCAUGGCAAAGAACCAGAAGCCUAGAAAAUUAGGUCUCUUUUCAUAUGCUCUAUGUCUAUGGUUUUUAAUGAUGGUAUUAGCUUUGACGAAACCAAGCAGGUUCCAGCAUGAGCCACUGUUCCACUUGAACUCUCCUUGGAUCUUGAAUAACUUUCCCAAAAUAAAACUGGGUUCAUUCAAGUCUGUCGCUACAUAGAAAAAAAGGCAAUUUCUAUGAAAAAAAUAAUCCACAUUUUUCUCAGCUAGAUGUAAUAACUAUCUAUAUGCUAUCAAACAGCUACUUUGGCACUGGUUGAAUGAAGGUAAUCAGUUUCAACCACAUUAUUAAAAGCAUUUUGUAUUUCCUCAAAAUUAACAAGAAAAAUCUGUUUUGAUGCCAAACAAAAUUGUUUUAUGAUUUUGUCAUUUGAUUGUGUAGAGCUGGUUGGGAUUCUGGAGAUGGAAUCUGUUGCAGGAAGAUCACUGUUGAUGGGACAUUAAGGUGAGUGAGGAACUUCAGUUUUAGAAGAGAGAAGACUGACAGUAAAAAAACUGAGCUGUAAGUGAGAGAGGGGCAAGAUUCAACAAAUACCUGUAGGUGCCAGAGUUUAUGAGAAGGUUUGAAGUUGUUUGAAUUACUAAUGAAAAUCAAAUUAGGCUAAGUAACAUGCUAUAUAAGUAAACAAACUAGCUUUACUGAUAAAGAGGAGGGAAAAGAAAUGCUACAAAACCAACUACUUAUUUGCAUAAACAGAAACAUUUUUUGUUGCAGAGUAAAAGUCAAUAACUAAGGAGAUAAAGAAGGCAACUACAUGAAUGUUUAUGACAGCAAUUGCAUCUGCCAAACAGUGGAAUAUUUUUCCACAUUCAGGUGAGUGAUGCCAGAAUUGAAGAUUAACUUUAGAUCUGCGAUAUAUUUUAUAAUUUUCUUUUUGGCAUCACUGAUUUAAAUAUAAAGAUUGAGCUAUGCAAAAGGGGGAAGCAGAUAAACUGUCAUUAGCAUCAUUCUAGUAACACCAACUGCAAUGAAUACCAAACACGUUUAUACUUAGCAAGGGAAAGUAAAUGUAGCUGUACCAAGAUUUGAAUGUCUAUUAACAGCUUGUCCAGUGACUGAGAUUAGACUAGUCUCACAGCAGUUGAUAUGUUUUACUCACAAAGUGUUCUGCUUAACAUUAAGUUAAUCACUGUUUCUGAAAAAAAGAAAAUAAUAAAUAUCUACAAUAAAUCAGACUGAUCUAUAGUAUACGAGGUCCAUACCUGAUCAUAGAUAGAAUUUAUUAUUUCCUCUCUCUAACAUCAACACACAAGAUGAACUUUCAACAGUUCUGGCAUUUAAAAUGAAAUUUAGAGUUUGCUUUUGUCUUAGGUUUCUCAGUGUGGUAUUUUAAUAUAAAUCUGUAAUUUGUCUGCAUUUUUUGUAGGAAAACAGCUGCCAAAUAGUCUUUUGCUGCUGUAGAAAUCAUUUAAAUCCAUGCUAUAAAAGAUUUAACCUCUUCUGAAUUUCCCACAAAAGAAAAAAAAGGGUAUAUUUUCCACACUUUUCAACCAGUGUAGAUCACCCACAUAUUUUCCAUUACGAAGCAAUGUACAGUAACUAAGAUAAUUUCAGCCACACUAGUACCAUCUUGUGUUCCAUUGUGAAGUUAUUUGGAUUAAUUUAUUUUAGUCUUUAGUCACUACUUGGGGCAUCGUCUUUAAAAAUCAGUGGUAACAAACAAAACAUUUUUACAUGGACAGUGUGCACCAGAAAGGCUGUUUUGAGCUUCAGUGGUUGGGAUUUGGGAUAAUCUCUCUCUGUCCUACUGCUACAACCUAAGUGUAGCUGCAGGACAGUGUCACUGUCCAUUCACUUAUGAUCAGUCAUGUUAACUCAGAGUGCAGCAUGCCCUGGUUUUUAUCCCAGUUUUCCAAGCGUGAGUCACUUUGAACUAGAAAUAGAUGAGUGCCACUGAUUAGGAGCCACGUUGAGUAGUGCCAGACUGUCUAUGAAAUUCUUGCAGGUCCAGACCCAACUAAAUUCUGAGGCCAAGACAUGCAGAAAUAGAGCCUUCAGAAAAACCGCAAAAGCAUAUGCUUAAGUGCAACUGAUUUCUUCAUUAUUAUAAUUAAGUAUUUGCUUAACAUACUUCCCUCAAUAUCGUCUUUGGGUUGCACUGAGACAGAAAGACACUGAGGGUGUUAAUUACCUUGUAUGAUUUUGCCAGUCGUUUAGCAAUUAUGGUGUUGGAGAAUUUAUGGGGAUUUUUUCACAGGAAAGCAAAAAAAAAAUCCUUCCUGGAUGUUUAUUCAUCUGCAAUAGUAUCAGAUGCAACCUGAGUAUUUCAGGGGAAGUGGCAGAAUGGCUAUUGACUUCUCUGAUUCAGAGACUGAAUUUCUAUAUCUGAUGAAAAAAGACACAGCUUUGAUGGCAAUCAGCUUUGACAGUGGAAUCGGAGGUGAGAUACAGUCACAGUGAUAAAGAAAUGCAAGUAACUUUCAAAGUUUUCUCAGGUAUCAGUCAGCACAUGUUAAUUUAUUAAGAAUCUGUUCUAAUAUGUCCUAAAUCCUGAUUUUCCACUGAUCAGAUGCAGUGGUACUGCUGAAUGCUGUGUGAACUGAAUCAGCUUUAGCAAUUCUAAUCAUCAAGCAAAACAAAUUGUAGACAUAUAGCAGAGAUUGACUCAAAUCAAUGUUAAUUUCAGCUGCUUUACCAAACUAGGAUAAUACAUACUGAUUUUAAAUAUAUUUAUUUCCAUAAAGAAAACAGUUUUAUGCUCCUGUCACCAAUAACCUUAGUAAUGUUCUAGACCACUAUCCUUUUCUUAGUUGACCGACUGCUAUUAUUAGAACAUCACACUACAUACAACAUGUGGUAUUUUUCUAUUUUACUUUUCAAGGGGGUUAUGGAAAUUAAAACUUCAAAAUUAUCUAACACAAAAACAAAAAUGCUAUUAUUUCUGAAAACAAACAAAAAGACAAAAAAAGACAAAAAAAAAACCAACCAAAAAACAACAAACCAAAACCAACAGCAACAAAACAAGCAAAAAACCAAAACCAAAUUAUACAUUGAGAAGACAAUAUAAUUCAGACUAGACUGGCUUCCUGUCUACAUAGUACAGAUGAAAUUGGAAAAGAGGAAGCUUUACUUUAUUCUUUUCUCCAUUUCAGGAUAAAAUUGCUUGUCUCGUAGACUUUCUGAAUCUGAGGGCUUGUGUGCUAUAAGCUUCAUUCCUUCUGAGAAUCCACAAAAAUUGCCCUAAUGAAAUCUCACAUUCUUGACCAAUACAUGUGCCAGAAAUAUGAAAUAUCUAUAAUGAUAUAUAAAUUGGGUAUUUCAUACUAGGUCAUAUAUUUACCAUCCUUCUAGGAAAACCUGGUACAGUGGAAUGAUAAAAGAGAGAAAAUGUUAAGUGUCGGAUUCAAUCUGUGAUGUAGACAAGAACAUAGAAAUAUUCUCUCAUCUUUAUAAAAAUGAGUGGAGUUAUUUGUCUUCCAUUGUUAAAUUUAACAUUGGAAACACUGCUAAAACUAGUGCAUCUUGCCUUGAAAAAUGCAACCCUACCUUGCUUCAUGUAAUUUUCCAUCUACUUCAGUCACCAGUUCACUUGUGUUUUGGCAUAGGAUUAAGGCAGGAAUAUAAAAGUCAUAUUGUAGCUCUGAUCAUUCUUCAGCUAUUUUUUGUUUAUUAUCUCUCAUUUAGAAAUGACUAUGAAGUACUGCCUUGAGGUAGGUCAAAAAUAACACUGAGACUUGUCACCCACAAGUAAACUGUGGAGGCUGGAAAAGUCAGGUGAGAAAAAAAGGUUUUUGUGAUUUGCCUGGUGCAUGGUGUCACCAGUGGCUGAGCCCCAACAGAGGCAAAGCUGCCACAGCCAGUGGCAAGGCUGAGCAUGUACAGCUGUGUACGUGUUCAGUAUAGACUAUGUCUGACUAUCUGGAUUGGAGGCCUUGCAUCACAACCGUAAGUACCCACAGAAUUUUAAAAAUGAAUUAGCUGUGCUUUGUAAAGUGAAUUUUGGGAAAAUUAAUGUAGGCCCUUGAUAUUAGCAUAUAGAUAAUUUGAGCAACGACUACAGGACACAACACUUUUCUGUUGUACCACUGAAUCUGCAGAAGGACAGCACGCAAAAGUCAUGGCAGAGCUGACCUUUGUCAUGCUGUUAAGUUAGACGCUUCACCCUCAUCAUGCCUCAGAGUAGCUAAUUUUUGUCAUGAUAAUCCAAAUAGAUGGGAAGACAUUGACAUUUGGGAAGAUAAAUGUAGUGAGAUUGAUUUUAAUGUGAUAAUUGUCUGUAUUGUCAAUUUUUUUGUGAGUCUCAACACCUGAAGACUGUUUGAGUGUACAUUAUAAGGCUGUAGGGGCUUAUGCUGUAGAAACAGAGAGCAAACUAGCUCUAUUAAGAUUGCCAGUAGUAAAAUAAAAUCCCUCUAAAAUGUUAUUGAAAAUAGCUAAACUGUAUUAUAUAAAAUCUAAAUUAUUUCUUCAUUAGAAAAGGAAAAACAGUUGCCUAGAAAGGUCUAACAGGCAAGGUGAGAGCAUAGCAAUGUAGGCUUUCUUCAUUAAAAUAAAUCAACAACAACAACAAAAAAACCAAAAUAAAACACUCAGCAUAAAUUAUUUCUGAAAUCUAUUUUGUAUGAUGGCAGAUGACAGUGAUUAUGCUAAUUAUAGUUAUAUUUUCUGCAAAGGUUUAUGGAUAAUGUAUGAAAUUAAAAUAUUGCUUCAGAUUUUGUCUGUCAGAUGUUAAAACUACAGAGAGAAAAACUUUAUGUGAACUUUUUGAGAGCAGCAAUCUCAGGAAAUGGGCAAUCCAAGUUUAGCAUUGUUUUGGCAUUACAUUCUCUUUGCAGUAAAAUGCUGAACAGAUGUAUCUGAUAGCAGUUGUAACCUAUUCAGAAGGAAGACUGCCAGUGCUAACCUACCACUGGUAGAAAGCAAUAAAGUGUCUCUGGAACCUGUUCACUACAUAUGGUUUGCCUGAGGUUACUGUCUUGCCUUUCUUACAGUGUUACUCAAUAAAUCACAGAAAAUAUGGAUUCAUUUUGAACUUAAAUGAAACAACACAAAACCAAAAAAAAAAACAACAAACAAACAAACAAAAAAAAGAGCAGAUUGUGAGGAUGGCUGAAUAUUUUCAUUUCAGACAUGAAAUAAGCCAUUUAUAAGGCUAAAUUAGUUUUAAAAAAACCCUACAAUUAUGCUACUAACAUGUCUUUGUUGUUGGUUAACAUACUUAUUUUAUCUUCAGAAAGAAAUGCUAUUGCAGCCAAGACUUAUAGAACAUCUGCUGUGUUAAUUAUCAAUAUUUUACUAAGCCCUCAAUUUCCUUACUCAAACAUAAUUCUUUAAAACAUUAUGAGAAACAAUGGAUUUAGGAGGAUAUCACUUGGGGAUUUGAUGUACUGUUCGGCUUAGAUUCUUUCCUUCUGGACAGAUGGAGCUCAUAAGAAGUUGUGAGGGAGGAAACCUCUAAACUUUUGCCAAAAAAAUCUUUACUGCACAUGGAAGAUCUGCAAAAAUGGUGAAAGAACAAGUCAUCCAAUGAUGGCUUAGUGGGAGAAAAAGCAUAGAUUUUACAUAUAAAUCAGUUAUGUCCUUAAUGUAAAUCCAAAGGUAAUUCUGCUUCAGACUGGAGAAAGAAUGUUUCACAUACACUGCAGCUUCUAUUUGAAAUGAACCACUUAUUUAAUUCAUUCCCACACCAGUUUCUGCAGUGUUAGUACUUAACAAGCCACAGAGCAAGAGGUAACAAGUUGGAGUCUUCCUAUGGUAGGUAUCAAACACUAGGACUUCAGAAGAGAAAACAAAGAAAUCAGAUAAAUGGUCAAAAAAAGUCUGAAUAUUUGAUUUUAAAUUACAUUUGGGGGGGUAAGGGGGGAAAAAAAGUGUAUUUUCAGUUACAAAAGGUGUGAUUUGAAUCACCUGCAUCUGAGCUUGGCACCUUGACUUGCCUUUAAGUCAAGAGAAAUGAGCUCCACUUUCAGUGAGCCAGCUAACUAGGUUUUGAUGAUUACUGUGCACAAGGACAACUCCUAAUGCUUGUAUUUUUCCUUUGAUGCUACAGGCAGCCUAGAGAGGCAAACUCAGAUUUUGGUGUUUAUAAUGGCCAGGUGAAUUCUUCCCCCAUGGCCACUGGUAUGUUAUGCUACUGAGUUUAUGCUGUGAACACAAAUGAGCUGAGAGACAGUGCAGUUUACUUGUUUUCUUAAUUUAUUUCUUCAUUGACUAUGCACAUUAUCCUCUUCUGAGAAUGUAAGUUGUCCCAGAAUUCAGCAGCCAGGAGUCAAGCUCAAGCCAAGUGGCAUAUAUGUUCAUUUGGGUAAUGGCAUGAGAUAUAGAGAGAUUAAUCUUUGCGUCUACGUAUGCUUGGGGUUGGUUAACCUUGGACCAUCUUAUUAGACUUGCCUUAUUAUUAGGCAUGCCUUGUAUGGAUGAGUCCUUUGGACCAUGCAGAGAUUUGAUGUGAAUUAAUUUGCUUUAAGGUCAAGGAGAUUUUUUCCGCAGGAAAUACGUUAAUUUAUUACACUAUAUUGUAUAUAGUAGGCUAUAUUUGAAAAUAUGUAAAACAUUCUUUAGGUCUUCAGAAAAUGUUUAUUUAAAAAGGAUUGAUUAUAUAAAUAAAUUUAGAGAAAAUAUAUAUUUAUCAAGUGCUACAACUAAUAUUCCUUUACUUUUCAUCUUGGCAGUUCGAGGAACAAAAAUUUUGCUCUUUAGCAACAAUGGGCCUCAUUCCUAGUGGUCAUAAAUCAAGACAAAGUAGCCUGGGGGAUUUAUACCAGAGAAGGAUCUGCACCAUCAGGUAAAAUUAUUCCCAAAGAAAAAUUCUUGGUGUAAUUCCAAUGAGUUCACUGAAUAAAUGUGUCCCUUAAACCACACACGAAAUAAACCAGCUUCCUCAGGUGAUGUUACUGGUUUACAGAAAGAGAAUUCUAAUAUGUGCUUUCCUACUACUCACUCACUGAAUUAGAACUAACAAGACACCUUCAGCUGGUUUUCUUCUCCUAUGCAGCCAGUAUUAUUGCUUCAUUACUUCACACUAUUUUUAAAACAGUGAAAUAUUUUGCCAGUAAAUA
Long non-coding RNA from Columba livia (rock pigeon), 14250 nucleotides. RefSeq lists it as uncharacterized. The transcript has 3 exons. The record is from RefSeq and is a predicted model, not a curated record. NCBI's taxonomy places the organism in Eukaryota, Metazoa, Chordata, Aves, Columbiformes, Columbidae.